RNAcentral lists this ribosomal RNA (425 nucleotides) under uncultured bacterium. Its description in RNAcentral is "bacterial SSU rRNA". It matches the Rfam family "Bacterial small subunit ribosomal RNA", at positions 356 to 773 of the family's 1533-position model. The record is from RNAcentral.
GGGGAAUAUUGGACAAUGGGGGGAACCCUGAUCCAGCAAUGCCGCGUGUGUGAAGAAGGCCUGAGGGUUGUAAAGCACUAUCAGUGGGGAGGAGUAUUGAUUGGUUAAGAGCUGAUUAAUUGGACGUUACCCACAGAAGAAGCACCGGCUAACUCCGUGCCAGCAGCCGCGGUAAUACGGAGGGUGCGAGCGUUAAUCGGAAUUACUGGGCGUAAAGAGUGCGUAGGUUGUUGAAUAAGUUAUCUGUGAAAUUCCUGGGCUUAACCUAGGCAUGUCAGAUAAAACUGUUUGACUCGAGUAUGGGAGAGGGCAGUGGAAUUUCCGGUGUAGCGGUGAAAUGCGUAGAUAUCGGAAGGAACACCAGUGGCGAAGGCGACUGCCUGGCCUGUGACUGACACUGAGGCACGAAAGCGUGGGGAGCAAAC